Cornus florida is the source of this 2770-nucleotide long non-coding RNA. RefSeq lists it as uncharacterized. The record is from RefSeq and is a predicted model, not a curated record. The transcript is spliced from 2 exons. NCBI's taxonomy places the organism in Eukaryota, Viridiplantae, Streptophyta, Magnoliopsida, Cornales, Cornaceae.
CCCUAAUUUUUUUUUUUUAUUUUUCUCUUUCCCUCUCCUCCUUUUUCUUUUCUUUUUUCUUUCUUUUCUCUUUUUCUCUCACUUCCUCUAUAAACUCUUGGCCUCCCCUCUCUUUUCUCUCUCCCCAAUUCUUUUUUCUGAAUCUCAAACCUUCUCAUUUUCUUUUCUCUCAAGCUCUCAAUCUUCCAAUCUCUCCCUCAACCUUCGGCUUCCAACCCACCCCACCUUCGUCCAUCUCACUCCGGUAAACCCCAAGGAGAUCCCCAAGGCUGCAGCCGUCCUCGAUAGAAACCAGAGAAGAACUCUUGGCCAAGGGCCGAGUUCAUUCACCUUUCUCUCUAUUUCCUCUCAUAUUCUUCUAUACUUCUCUUCUCCGGCCGAUUUAGGCCAAGGAGAAGUCGAUUCAUCACCGACGACUCUCUGAAAUUUUCAGCGAGCUUCCGGUGAAGCUCGGGUCAUCUAUUCCAGCCACGGUUAGGCCGAAAUUUUGUGGAUUCAUCCCAAAAAUCUCUCUCUCUCCGUUUCCUCUACUCAUUUCCAAACCAGUGUUCCCUUACAGGUUGCACAAUUCAAGUUUGGGGGCCUGUUUUUGUUGGACUUCACAUGGGAGCUUUUUGUCACCUCGCCAUGCACUGUCCUCCUUUUCUUGGUAUUUUUGUUCUUGUUAUUCUCUUUAAUUUUCAAUAGAUGUUAGUUGUUGUCCCACAUUGAGGACAAUGUGUUAUUCAAGUUUGGGGGUGCAAUAUUGCAUUUUUGGUAGUACAUUUUUGUAAAGCAAUGAUAGUGUAAUUUGAAACUUGUCAGAGAUGAAGCUCAUGUUUAAUACCUUGUGUAUGAAAGCAAUUGUUGAGUUUUGAAAAUAAAGAAAAUUUGAAAAGAUCAUGUGGAUGCAAUUUAGUCUGUAUAAAUGUUUCAAUUAGAUUUUCGUUGGAUUUUAUACUCUUUUAUGCUUCACAAUGCACAGAUGCACACCGGAAACUUAAUUGCGAGGCAUGCAACUUGAUUAACCUUGAUCUUGAACCUAAUAGAUGGAUACCUUUGGCAUGAUGAAAAAAAAAAAAAAAAAAAAAAAAAAAAAAAAAAUAGAAGAAAGAAAGAUAAUGACCAGUUUGAGUUUGUAGCCUUUCCAACUUGAGUUAUUAAGCCCAAGGAGUGUCUCUACACUUAGCACCCUAAAGCCAUCUGGUUUGCGAGUUGUUAGCCUAACGCUUGCUAUAUGGGUUGGUUAGAAAGCUUAAAAGACUUAGGCACUGCACGGUUAUUUAAAAAAUAUAAUAAACAUGGUCUGUUAGAAUUCGUAGCCUUGCCAAUUUGAGCUAUUAAGCCCUAGGAGUGUUUCUACACUCAACACUCUAAAGCCAUCUAGUUUGGGAGUUGUUGGCCUAACGCUUGCUACAUGGGUUGGUUAGAAAGCUUAAGGGAGUUCAGCAUUGCACAACCAUAAUAUGCAUCAUUUUGAGUUUUAAUAAAUUUUCAACAAGCAACAAAAGUUGUAUUGUAAAUAAAUUCAUGCCUUAGUGACUUCAUUUAAAAGGGAAUUCGAUGAUGUGAAGACUUGUGUCUUAAAAUUGGAAAGAAAAGGUUAAAGCCACGUGUUGGGAAAUCCGGUUCACUUUCACUGAAGUUAGAGUUGAUUUCUAUUCAAGAGAUAGCAAUUGAGUUAUUUAUAUAGACUAUGAUGCUGUUGCAUGGAUGUUUAAGCAUGUUUAAUCAUUUAUUUUUGUACCAAGGCUUCAUAUAUGCAAGGUAGUCUGCCUAAUGAUCCCAUCUCCAGUCUUCUGUCUGUCUCAAGUUAUAUUUGAGCUAUGCAUGUUUUCCAUUUCACCAUGGUUGAUAUUUUUGGGAAGCAAUCCAAUGGUUGUCAUUUGUUGAGUUUGUCAUUUUGGUUUUGCUAUGGGACUAGCAAAAUGUAAAUUUGGGGGUGUAAUAAGCGCCGAAUAUUGCAUAUUCAAGCGCCCUUACUUGCAUUAGUUAAGUCCAUUUUUGGUUUAUAUGUAUAUAUUUUCUCCAGUUCUUUGUUUCUGUGCAUUUUUUCAGGUUUCUUUACAAAAAGGGAAUAAUGGAAGCUCAAAAGGCUUGUUGAAGAGCAAAUCAUUUCGGGCUUUUGCAUCCGGAAAUCUCCAAGAGGAAUUUGCUAAAACAAGUCUACGAAGUCCUUCUACAAUGAAAAAAGGGUGAAUAAUUCUCAAUAGGCCAAGGAUAAAUCCAUGUAGAAGAAUUCAAAGCAGAAGAAGAAGAAAAUGCAUUCUGAUGCAUUUUCGAGCGCUCAGAAAACCUUCGAGCGCUCGAAAUCAGGACAGAGUGGUCUACCGCAAUCUUCGAGCAGACCCACUUGUGCCUUGAUUCCCUCAACUUCGGAUUUCCCUCUUUUAUGAGUUGGUUGGAGAUGUCUUUUGGUGGGGGUGGAGCCUUAUUUUGAGGAGGUUUGGUAGACAUAUUGUCUACAAAAGGGAAGGGGAACCAUAUAUAUCAAGGUUCACAUAUAUUUUGCAAGAUUUUCUAGAGAAGAAAAAGGAGGAGAAGAUAGAGUUUUGUGGCUAGAAGGGGAGCUUAAAAAUGGCAGUGGCAUCCAAGCUUCUUCCUUCCUCUAGUCCAUCCAUGGGUAACUAAUUCUCCAUCUAGGGAGGUGAUGAAGCCCUCCCUUGUAAGCAUGUUCUAGUGUAGAUUUUAUUUUGGGAUAACAAUGUAUAAUCUUUGGUCAUUUCAUGAUUUAGAGCCUCAUACUUGUUGUAAUGGAUUAUAGUGUCUAUAAAUGAUCAUUUUGAGUUUA